AGUCCAUGAUGUGGGCAACAUCGCAGUAGAUCCUUGUACCUCUCCUAAGUGUCGUACAUCAACUCAUCGUCAAACUACACAAAACAAGAUAUAUCAUUUCUAAGUUU
This 107-nucleotide small nucleolar RNA is filed under the name Ricinus communis (castor bean). RNAcentral's name for it is "Plant small nucleolar RNA R71". It matches the Rfam family "Plant small nucleolar RNA R71". Rfam says of the family: R71 is a member of the C/D box family of snoRNAs containing the C (UGAUGA) and D (CUGA) box motifs. Multiple nearly identical copies of this snoRNA have been identified in Arabidopsis, and it is thought to function as a 2'-O-ribose methylation guide for 18S ribosomal RNA. The record is from Rfam by way of RNAcentral. Lineage: Eukaryota; Viridiplantae; Streptophyta; Magnoliopsida; Malpighiales; Euphorbiaceae.